Drosophila mojavensis is the source of this 4752-nucleotide long non-coding RNA. RefSeq lists it as uncharacterized. The transcript has 8 exons. NCBI's taxonomy places the organism in Eukaryota, Metazoa, Arthropoda, Insecta, Diptera, Drosophilidae. The record is from RefSeq and is a predicted model, not a curated record.
GAAAUAAAAAAUAGAUAAUAAACUAUUGGCAUUUUCACCGAAUACGAUCAUCAUUCCUAAUACGGAUUGAAUAGUUAUGAUGAAUUUAAAUAUAAAAGUCAUAUUCCGACAUUUUAAAAUUCUGCUAUACCCUUGAUAACUAUUUCAUAUAGGUAAUAACUAUAAAAAGUAAACAAAAAGAGAGCCGACUGGAUGUGCCUAGAUUAACAAUUCAAUCAUAAUCAAUGGAAAUAAAGACUCAAUGAAGUUUGGAAAAUAUUGAAAUCGAUUUACAGCUGGCGGCUGCAAUUUGGGGAGUUUUUGUCACGAAGGAAGCCAUUCAUCAAACACUGUCCAAAAUUUCGUGCAAGCUAAUUAAAUAUAAAUAUUUUAUAUUGUGACCCAGUCUGCAAGCUUGGAAGAGCUUCAAGGUGAAUACCCUAGUUCCAGACGGCUUAGCCAAUGGAAGAACGUGCGGAUUAUAAAAUCUGAUCAGCUGCCCACCUUUGUAUGUGGCCCAUCUUUGUGACAUUUAUCACUGGGCAAACACUUCCGCUUGGCCACAGAGGUCGCAUCCUGAUCCUGACCGCAUAAUAAAGCAAAUUUGGUCGUGUGCACGUACUCCGGUUCGUUGGGUUGCUAGAGCACGGUGUGUGGUCCCGCGGCGAGGGGAGUGAGAGAUAGAGAGUGAAGAGAGCGAGAGAGCGAGAGAGUGUGAUCGUUUAAGAUGAGUUACGAGGCCGACCAUCGAUAUAUCUACGUGCCCUGUUCAAAAUGUUGUUUAUAUCCACUGCGGUCUGCCCGUCCCAAGAAGGACACGUGCACGCGUCAGAUAAUUGAUAAAAUUGCUCAGAUAAGAUCCUGGAGUUUCAGUCAAGUAAUUGAUAUUCCUGUCGACAAGUCAACUUUUACCGGCUACCCGCUGAGCCGAGUCGAGCCGAGCCGAGCUGGGCGCAAAAGCAAUCAACGGCGACUAAAAAACCGACGGACAAUUUAUGCCACAGCAUUCGGAACUGCCAACACCCACAUACAGGAAGAGAAAGAGAUGGAAGUACAGUCUGUAUAUAUGGAUAUAUACUAGUAUAUAUAAUACUUGCUGCAAGAGCUUGUGUGGUGCUCCGAAUUCGAUUAUUUUUCCUGCAUCUACAACCAGGACACUGUCGUUGUCCAUGACUGUGUGAAGACGAUGAGCAAUGGUCAACACCGUACACUGGGCAAACUUGGUUAUCAAUAAUUACUUACUCUGCAUCCACAUUAGCAGUCGCCUCGUCCAUAAUAAGUAUUCGAUUAUUGCGGAGUAUGGCUCGGGCUAAGCAAACCAAUUGCCUUUGGCCCAUGCUGAAGUUCGAUCCGCCAUCUUGCAUAUAGCAUGAGAGGCCUCCCUCCAAGCUGGCCACGUAUUUCUUCAGCUUCACGUCGUCGAGUGCGUUCCAAAGCUCUUCAUCACUCUUCAUACCAAACGGAUCGAGAUUGAAUCGCAAUGUACCGGAGAAGAGAACUGACUCCUGUGGUAUGAUUGAGAUGCGACUGCGUAGAUCAUGCAAGCCCAACAAGGCAAUGUCCUGACCGUCUAUCUCGAUAAGCCCCUCAUUGAUUGCAAGCCGGAACAGUGCUUGGAUUAUCGAAGAUUUGCCAGCGCCCGUACGUCCCACAAUGCCAAUCUUCUCCAUGGGCUGCGACUCAAAGGUCAAGCCUUUCAGAAUUUCGAUAUCGUCUGGAGCAUAUUUCAUGCGUAGAUUACAGAAGCGUAAAUGGCCCUUUUCUGGCCAUUCAGAUGCGAGAUUUAUCUCCUUUGCUGUUUCCAAAGGUGGCUCAGAUGGGGUCCUCGCAUAUUCCAAUAUGCGCUCCACACUGGUCAUCUUAUUCUCCAGCUCCGCCGUCUGCCUCAUGCCCCACUGACACAUUAUGACCAGGGUCAUUGAUUGUGUGAUAGCCAGGCCAACAUCGCCACUGUAGAAAGUCUCAUUAAUUACCAGGAAGCUGAAUGUCACAGCUAGUAUGUAAACGACACAAAUGAGAUCCGUCCAAAAGGAAAAGGCACGAUUGGCGCUUGUGUAGAGAAAGAGCGCAGACGAGUUCGUAUUCUGAUGGCCAUGGAAAGUGUGCUCCAAUUGCGGCAUCGCAUCCAAUGCUCGUAUAGUAGUCAAGCCCUGUAACGUUUGAUUGGCAUGCGUGUAAACUGGACUACGAGCUGAGCAUGAAAAAGGCCAAAGCAUGUCAACUGCGACCGGCACCUAUGUAGAAAGAACGACAAAAGUACAUCAAGACCGCCAUGAUAGCUGCUGGAAUGAGGAGCCAAUAGUUGGCGAUUGCCACGAUGACCAAGACAGCCACCACAUCUACAAAGAACUGUAGCAAAUGGAGUCCAUCAUAGCCUGCGGCAAGGCCACAUCCACGUUCUCAAUAUCACUGGAGAAGCGAUUCAGUACUCGACCCGAGGGAUUGGCAUUAAAGAAGAACAUGCGAGCACGUAUAAUCCCAUCGAAGAGCAAAUUGUGCAAUCGUAGUGAAAUACGUAAACAUAACAGAAAGAAGCCAAAGGUACGCAACAAGUAGAGGGCCAAGGUGCACACCAAGAGCACCGCGUACCACGUAACCAUGCGAGCACGAGUCUCUUCGAACUGCUCGGGUGUUUCUCGAUUUUCCUCCCAGGUAGCCCAGCGCGAAAUGAAGAUGUCCAUUAAAGCUUGGCAAGCUCGAGCGACAAUGAAGAGCGCAAGCACCAGGCAAACCAAGGUGGGUGAGCGAAGAGCGCGAAAGUAAUCCAUAUUGAUCAUCCACCGUCUCUGCAGGAUCCUGGAAUAGUUUGGAGUUUCUGUCCACUUGGCUAAGGACUCGUUUCACCAGUUGCUUGUCUGCUUCAACGGCAUCCAAAUCGGGUGCUGCAUGCUUCUCAAUAACGUCUCGCAGCUCCGCAUAAGUACCUUGCUGGGUCAGGCGUCCGGACUCGAUAAUUAGCAAGUGAUCCACAUUCUGCAGCAACUGUACAUGAUGCGUAACCAAUAUGCGCAGCUUGUCUCCCAGGAACCGAUUGAAGCACUUGUCCAUUAGCAGCUUGCCCACUCCACGGGCAAGACUUAUUCUCGCCUUUUGUCCUCCACUUAAGCUGAUGCCCCGUUCGCCCACCACAGUAGCAUCACCGUGGGGCAGCAUAGCUAGAUCACAGUCCAGCUGGCAGGCAUGCACAACAGCUCGAUACCGCUGCUCCUCGUAUGGCUCCACAAACACAAUAUUGUCACGUAUGCUGGCCUGGAAGAUCCAGGGCUCCUGUGGGGCAUAGCUCAACUUGCCAUGCACUUCAAUGCGACCCUGCAUGAGCUCCACUUCGCCUAAGAUGACGUUUAGGAGCGUACUCUUGCCAGAGCCCACGUUGCCGACAAUGCCCACCAAUUGUGUUUGAAGAAGCUUAAAGCUGAUGUCCUCAAUGUGCGCAGUUCGUGCCUGCCUAACGCUUGGCUUGUUCCAGCUGGCGGUAACCUGGCUAAAAGUGAUGGACUUUUCCUUGCUCUCUAUGCAGUGCAAUCGACCCACAGAGAGAGGCUUUGCAGGUGCCUUUUUGAAAUCCAAUUGUAGGGUGGGAUUGUCUCUACAGUUGGAGGAGCAGUUCUCGUUGGUGGGCGAUUCAGAUUGCUGUAGGAACUCCGUCACUCGCCUUGCGCUAACUACAGUCUGCGCCCAGGUGGUAAUUGCCAAGGGCCAAAAGUGCAUCAGCGAAUCAUUCAGCAAGCUGUAGUAGGACGAGAGUAUAAACACCUUUCUGGCCGUAACCGCUUCACCAGUAUACACAUAGGCAAUGAGACUUAGGAACAAAGACACUUUCGAUAUCAUGUUGGUGCACUGCAGCGCCGCAUAUAUGCUAACGGAACCUCGGAUGGCUUUAACCUCCAUCUUACGCACUUUGGCUAUCAGCUUUGCAAAAGACUGCUCCCAUGCAUACAUUUUGAUCACCUGCAUGGCACUUAUAAUCUCGUUCAUCAGCUUCACACGGCGAUCCCGUUGAUCCGCUGAUCUGGUGCGAAAUUUGGCUGCCGCUUUGGCAGCCCACGCUUGAAGUGGAAUCAACAGCACUAUGAAGGCAAUGCCUAUCAAAGCCGUCCAGUUAAUCUCAGUGUACAUGAUGUAGCCAAAGAGGCACGCCUCCACGGGUCCCUUCCACAAGUCAUGAAAGAAGUAGAAUGUCAGAUCGAACUGUGGCAAAUCGAUGGACAUCACUGAUAUCGCCAGAGCGCCAAGUCCAUCCCGGCCAUUGAUCGCUGCACGCAAACACUUCCUGUAUAUCAGUCCAGCAAAGGCCACACGAAUCCUUGUGCCCACGGCGAAGACGUAAAACAUAAAUGGAUGAAAUACCAGUGACGUGAUCAGCGCGCACAGCACAAUGCCCAUCGCAUACAGAUAGGCGCUUUCCUUGCUAAUGCUCGUUUGCCCCUCGGCAAAGUAGGAGAUCAAGCCACCCAAAAAGAGUGGCUGAAAGGCACUGCAAAGAAACAAUGCAAAGAGUAUUUGAGAGAAAUGCAACCAUUUGUAUUCUAGCUGCAGGCUCAGGAUAACUCAGAGGACGGAAUUGAAUAGAUCACGCAGGCAGGCACAAACUGCCAUCCAUAAUGGGCAAAGAUCAGAUGCAACGAACUUGGUUGUUUGCGUUGAGAUUCACGUAUCCAUGGCUGUUGCAAAUCCUCCGUCAAUUUGGCACUAUCGAAAUAGUGUAAAUUUGCGUAUAGACCGUUUUCCGAGAGCUCUUCUCGUCGGCCUUGCCGAAAUACAUGGCGCAUCCAU